UACGGGGGGGGCAAGCGUUGUUCGGAAUUACUGGGCGUAAAGGGCUCGUAAGCGGCCAACUAAGUCAGACGUGAAAUCCCUCGGCUUAACCGGGGAACUGCGUCUGAUACUGGAUGGCUUGAGUUUGGGAGAGGGAUGCGGAAUUCCAGGUGUAGCGGUGAAAUGCGUAGAUAUCUGGAGGAACACCGGUGGCGAAGGCGGGUCUCUGGGCCGAUACUGACGCUGAGGAGCGAAAGCGUGGGGAGCGAACAGG
Molecule: ribosomal RNA, 253 nt
Filed under: uncultured bacterium
Lineage: Bacteria
Description: partial 16S ribosomal RNA
Rfam family: Bacterial small subunit ribosomal RNA
Source: RNAcentral